GCGCGUGUGGCGGAAUUGGCAGACGCACCAGACUUAGGAUCUGGCGGGAAACCGUGGGGGUUCAAAUCCCUCCACGCGCACCA
RNAcentral lists this transfer RNA (83 nucleotides) under Bacillus thermozeamaize. RNAcentral's name for it is "tRNA-Leu". It matches the Rfam family "tRNA". From Rfam's summary of the family: Transfer RNA (tRNA) molecules are approximately 80 nucleotides in length. Their secondary structure includes four short double-helical elements and three loops (D, anti-codon, and T loops). Further hydrogen bonds mediate the characteristic L-shaped molecular structure. tRNAs have two regions of fundamental functional importance: the anti-codon, which is responsible for specific mRNA codon recognition, and the 3' end, to which the tRNAs corresponding amino acid is attached (by aminoacyl-tRNA synthetases). tRNAs cope with the degeneracy of the genetic code in two manners: having more than one tRNA (with a specific anti-codon) for a particular amino acid; and 'wobble' base-pairing, i.e. permitting non-standard base-pairing at the 3rd anti-codon position. The record is from RNAcentral. Lineage: Bacteria; Bacillati; Bacillota; Bacilli; Caryophanales; Bacillaceae.